ACGGGAAGAAAACUCUACAGCUACCAAGGAUCUUGGUACUAUCCCAACACACUCCAAGCAAUCCUAAACUUCCAAACACAUUUCCAAGCGCGAGACAGCGAUAUCAUCCUAGCUUCUUUACCCAAAUCAGGAACCACCUGGCUCAAGGCUCUUGCAUUCGCCGUCGUCCAUAGAAACAAGUAUGCUCCUAAUCUUGAAUCCCAUCCUCUCCUCUCCGACAAUCCUCACAACCUCGUCCGGUUUCUUGAACUUGAUUUAUAUGUCAAGAAUCAAUGUCCUGGCCUAGAAGAGCUUCCUUCGCCUCGGAUUUUUGCAACCCACAUGCCUUUUCAAACCCUUCAUGAAUCUCUAAGAGAUUCUCCUUGCAAGGUUGUUUACGUGUGCAGGGACAUAAAAGAUGUGUUGGUCUCUCGUUGGCAUUUCAGGAGCAAGCUUGUUAGUAACUACUCGCUUGAAGAUAUAGUUGAGGAGUAUAUUAAAGGGGUUUGCUUCUUCGGGCCGUUUCAGGAACAAGUAUUAAGUUAUUGGAAAGAGAGCUUGGUGAAUUCGAAUCAUGUUCUCUUCAUGAGGUAUGAAGAAAUGAUAGAGAAGCCGGAGGCUCAAGUUAUAAGACUCGCUGAUUUCUUAGGUUGUCCGUUCACUGAAGAAGAAAAGCAAAGUGGAAUAGUAGAGAAUAUCUUGGAGCUGUGUAGUUUUGGUAACUUGAGUAACUUGGAGGCUAACAAGACUGGGACAUCUACUUGUGGAAUUCCUCACCAUGGGUUUUUUCGUAAAGGAGGAGUUGGUGGCUGGAAUAAUCAUCUCACUGAUGAUAUGGCAAGAAAACUCGAUGAGAUGGUUGAAAAGAAACUAGAAGGUUCAGGGUUGAAGUUUGAGUGAUCCAAGUUCAUAAUAAUUUUUAUAUGUUUGAUAUUCAAUAAGAAAAUCGUGUUAUGAUAUAUAAAGAUUAUAUGAAAGCUAAGCUCAGUUAUCGUUUGCAUAUCUUUUGGUGUGUUGUUUUAAAAAUGUAUAUAUUGGAAAAUAUGUGUGUUUUCUUUUGUUUUUCUUUGUCAUGUACACAAUACACCUAAACCGGCUAAAGAUGGAGAACUUCUAUAUGGAGUAGCCACUAGCCAAAUCUUUGUAACCCAAAAGUGGUCAAAAAGGUGAAGGAAGUUAUGUUGUGGAUACAGAACUCAAAAGGUGAUUAUGCUUAUACGUACCAGUUAAAAGAUGAGAAGAAAUCUUUGUAAGAUAACUGAAGGCUCUUAUCAGAAUAAAGUAGUUUUUUUUCUUCUUGAAACUCUGAUAUAAUUAAAUAGUUGUCAGCAUGAGUUUUUUAUACUGAGAGUUCUAUAGUUCGUAAGCAGGCUCUUUGUUUCUUGGAUUUCAUAAGAAAAAAAAAGUUUGUAAAGAUUUUUGAAACCAAAUUGGACAAAGAAAGCCAGAGAGAAAGAUGAAGAGCCCUUUCCAACAUGAAAACCAACUAUUUAAAGUAUUUGUUUGUUCAGAAUUUGAAAGAAAAGACACCUGUUAGAGUAUUUUUUUAUAAAACAAGAGAAUGGUUUUUUUUUCUCACCCACAAUACAUAAAUAAAUUCAUAGUUUAUGAUUUUUUGUUUCUUAGGCUAAUUUUUUAUCAUCUAAAUAAAAAUCGGAACUAAAACCGACGGUUCCCAAAACUGCAAAGAUACAAAACCAAAAGAGAUUUUUUUUUUUAACAAAACAAAAGAGGAAACAUAUUCUAAAAGAUGGAGAGACUAACUAUAGGCAAUUUCAAUGUAUUUUACUAUUUUUCUUUUAAAACAAAUGAGCUCUAUAAUAAAGAGCAAAAUAGAGAAGAAUAUUAGUUUUCCAAAAUAAUCAUCUCUAAAUAUAUAUAACAAAUUAUAGAAGAAUGUUAUUUCUUUUUUUUUUUAUAAAUAAAAGAAAUAUAACAAUAUCUAUUUUACAGGAAAAACAGAGUAGAGUUAAAUACUAUUAAACCUGGUGUAUUAUGAGCUACAAUAACACACAAUAAAACCAACAGAAAACUUCGAGAGUAAUUGAAAUUCUAUCGACGAAACUCAAAUUUGAUCAUUUUCAAUCUAAUUUGAUCAUUUUUUUCUUGAAAAAACGAUUAAAUUAGACUCUAGUUUAAAAUAAAUUUGAAAGGCUUAUGAAAAUUAGUAUAACUAGCUAGACAGGUUAUAGUAUGUAUUAUGAUCCUCUCUUUUUAAAGACCACUAGGGCUUAAUAAAAUAUCAGUAAAUUUUGAUUUGAUUCGUUUCAUUAUUCAUGUUUAUUCGAACAAAUAUUAGAUAUAUAUAACUCCAUGAAUCAAAGCAAAGAUAAUAUGUAAUAUUCGUAAAAAAAAAUCAUAAAUACUAAUAUAUUUUUGAACUGAUAUCUAUUCUGUUAUAUGCAUGUACAUACAUAUAUUUAAAUAAUUUUAUAUAUAAGUUAUAUGUAUAUAUAUAGAUUUAUUUUAUUUAAGUUUUACACUAUUUUUAUUUACUAAAUUUAUUAUAUUAGUUAUUAGAAUUUUAAAAAGUGAAUAAUUUUAUUUUUUAUUAAUACAUUACUAUUUUAUAUUAUUUUGAUUUUUAUUUGUAUGUUCAAAUUAGAUAUCUAGUUUUAAAAAAUUAAAAUAUUAUAUAUCCGGAACAUCAAAUAUCUGGAUGCCAAGGAUACCAAAUAUGUAGAUGCCUAAAAAUUAAAUCGGAUCAAAUAAUUGAUUAUCCGAGUGAAAUAGAUCUGUUCACAAAUACUUUAUCCGUCCACCCCUAAAGACCAUGUUGAACCAUCGACAUCUUGCGCUUUAUUUAUUCACUAGGUGAUAACCCGCACCAUGUGCAGAAUAAAUUUAUUAAAAAAAAAAUUAUAUUUAGUGAUUAUAAACUCUACUACACAUUUUGUUAUACAUCUUAAUAAUAGUUAACAAAUGUAUAAAUACUGAAUAACAACCAUUUAUCCACAUCUUGUGUGUGAUGGACCUUGUAUAUACAAAUUAUUUUAUGUAUUAUUAUUUAUUUUACAUUUUUAUAUUGUAUAAUAACAAAUAGGAAAUAUAUAAUUAAUAAUUGAGGAAAAUUAAUUAUUAGCAAUAUAAUUAAAUUGGUAGACAAAUCAUUCUUGUUUAUUUACUAUCAUUUUAUGGUAAGUAAAUAUAAAUAUCACAUUUAUCUAUUUUGUAUAUAAUUAAAUUAAAUUGGUAGGCAAAAAAUUGACAUUACUUUUCUAAACAGCUAAAGGGAUUUCAUUGACUCAUAAGAUAUACACUGACACAUAGACACAUUGAAUGUUAGACGCUUCUCCAAGUAAUCUUAACAAUAACAAAAAUAUUUUAGAUGUCGCAUAUUUAUACAUAAUAAACGACAUAUACAAUUUGUAACACAUAAAAAAUGACUCCAUGAAAUGUAAUUGAACACGAGUUGUCUUACGGAACUCAUAUGUUCUUUAACACCAGUUUAAACUUAGAGAAAUACAGACAGAUCUUUUGUUUAUUAUGACUAAGACAAAUCCGAAGUGAGUUUCAGCUGUGUUGUUUAUAAUAAAGAACAUGAUGUUCAAUACGAACUGAAUAACCUUGAACGAUUAUAUUUAGAAAAAUAUAGACAAAGUAUUGUUUACCAUGACCAAGACAAACCCGAGUGAGUUUCAGCUAUGUAAAAUCAUAGUUGACAACCUAAGGUUCAUUACUAACUGAAUAAUAAUGAGAAAUGACAAAUUUGAUAUGGUUCACUACUCUAGGAAUAACAACCUGAUGGAUGUUUCUUAACGAUGCAUCUUAAAUAGCAAACUGAAACAUAUUUUAAAAAGAUACAUUUCAAAUUUUGACGAAUAACUCAUCAAUCGAGCAGACAAAAAUAACUCAUUAAUAAUAUGUGUAUAGUUAGAAAGGAUUACACAUCUUGUUUCUUGUGAUCUUGAAUAAUAGUUCUGGCAGAUUUAGGUUCAUUACUAACUGAAUAACAAUGAAAAUGACAAAUAUACCACGUUCAAAAUAACAAUUUGAUAAUUGAUAGUAAGAUCAGUCACUUUACCAUUAAGAACCUAAGCUAUGUUACUACUUACUGUUGCAUAGUCUAUAUGGAUGGUUCAUGGAGUAAAUUACAGUAUUCAAUUCUGAAAGAUGGAGAGAAGACUUAUUUACGUCAAUUUUUUCCAUGCAGAUUACGUUAAGAUAUGAAACAUGAAGAAGUAACACACAGACUUAACUUCCCUUAUAUAUUAUAAGAGAGAAUCCGAUAUGGUGGUUUCUGUCGCUAUUCUUCUGGCCAUCUAUUUUCCAGUAGAGCUUUAUUCUACAUGUUUCUGUCGCUAUUCUUCUGACCAUCUAUUUGUCAAUAAUAUCAUGCAUAGCCAUUCCAAAAAUUAAGACUUUCCAAUCAUGCAUGGCUAUCUCUCGAUCUCUUAGAUGUGCUAUGCCAGCUGGCAAAGGGAGGUCAUACUGUUCUAGUUAGUUCGCUGCUCCAUUAUCCACUCACACGAUGUCCUAAAACCCCGCCUCUUGGAAUGGCACACAUCAAAGUAGUUCGCCAUGAGUGUCUGAUGAUGUAUUCUCUUAACUUUCAAUAUUUUUUUUCGGCUAAGUAUGUUCUUCCUAUUGUUGCAGACUGUUAAUCUCAUGCAAUGCGAAGUGCUAUAUGUUAUUCUUCCACUCUACACUUUAUGAAGUAUAGCCUCGUGAAAUAUCAAAGGAAGGAAACCAACCAUGCAUGUUUCAGUAGGAGAAGCUUCUUUCGAUGUGCUAUUUCAUCGAGUUCAGCUUGCUUACAUACUACUCGUGACAGCACAUCGAAGGAGAACAACCAUGCUGGUUUCGGUUGGAGAAGCUUAUUUCGAUUUUUUGUUUCAUCAAGUUCAUCUCGCUUAUAUACAGCUCGUGAAAGCUCGAAGGAAGGAGAAUAACCAUACCGGUUACAAAAAGCUCAACAAAUAUUCUUCAACUUAGUCAACCAAUUCUUCUCACGUUUGUAAUCAAUGAAAAUAUUAAAGUUGGAGUUUUAAUCGCAAGAUAACAGUCAUAUACCAAAACUAUUUUUUAUGUAGGGACACAUGAGAUGCAAACUUGGAAACAUAUUUUGCUAAUUAGGCAAUUUUAAGCAUAAUAAAAUUGAAAUGAUUGUGAGCAUGACAUGUGUCAAUAUAAGUGUGAACGCAUUUAUUGACAAUGUUUCUCUUUUAAUAUAUAAGGGAUCUCACUGCCCAAUAAUGAUUCCUCCUCUCACCAACUCUCCAUGUCUCUGAUUAAUUAAUAGUGGAUGUUAGGUGUGUUCGUUUUAUGUGUCCAUUUGUCUAUCCGCAAAUAAUGUUUACUGGUCUCACCAACUCUCUGUGACUCCAAGUCUCCAGCAAAUUAAUAAAACAUGUGAAAUGUACUUUCAAAUUAUUUUUAGUAUCAUGUUACCGUUUUAUAUGAUCGUUCCUCUUAUCACCCCAUGAUUAUACAAAGUCAAAUUCUUCUUUACUUUCCUACCGUUUCUCCUAUUAUGGAAGCUUCACAAAAUCUUCUUCAAACACCUGCAAAUUUCAUGAAGGUCGAUAGUUUGAGCCAAGAAUGUGAAAAUCUGAUCUCUUCUUUACCUUCAGAGAAAGAUUUCAUGGGAAAAAACCUCUAUAGCUAUCAAGGAUCUUGGUACUAUCCCAGCACACUCCAAGCAAUCCUAAACUUCCAAAAACAUUUCCGAGCACGAGACAGCGAUAUCAUCCUAGCUUCUUUCCCCAAAUCAGGAACCACCUGGCUCAAGGCUCUUGUAUUUGCCGUCGUCCAUAGAAACAAGUACGCUCCUAAUCUUGUAUCCCAUCCCCUCCUCUCCGACAAUCCCCACAACCUCGUUCGGUUUAUUGAACUUGAUUUAUAUGUUAAGAACCAACGUCCUGAC
RNAcentral lists this long non-coding RNA (5845 nucleotides) under Brassica napus (rape). RNAcentral describes it as "long non-coding RNA (BNAP_LNC000963)". Lineage: Eukaryota; Viridiplantae; Streptophyta; Magnoliopsida; Brassicales; Brassicaceae. The record is from RNAcentral.